This 90-nucleotide transfer RNA is filed under the name Chloroflexota bacterium. Its description in RNAcentral is "tRNA-Ser". It matches the Rfam family "tRNA". Rfam says of the family: Transfer RNA (tRNA) molecules are approximately 80 nucleotides in length. Their secondary structure includes four short double-helical elements and three loops (D, anti-codon, and T loops). The record is from RNAcentral. RNAcentral also lists the same sequence under 2 other names. Lineage: Bacteria; Bacillati; Chloroflexota.
GGGGAGAUGGCCGAGCGGUUGAAGGCGCGCGCCUGCUAAGCGUGUAUAGGGGUAAUGCCCCUAUCGAGGGUUCGAAUCCCUCUCUCUCCG